AACAGGAAAUCAGCUGCAAGAUCUCGCGCUCGCAAGCAAGUGAGUGCUCAUUACAAUCUUGAACAAACCUUAAAACAACCGACGGUAUAGUUAUUUACUUAAUUCAUUUCGCUGUUUGAUAGGCUUAUAUGUUGGAGUUGGAAGCAGAAGUUGCACAACUUAAAGAGAUGAAUGAAGAGUUGCACAGGAAACAAGUUGAAAUCAUUGAAAAUCAGAAAAAACAGCUUCUGGAGCCAAUGCACCAGCCAUGGGGAUGCAAAAGGCAAUGCCUGCGAAGGACAUCCACAGGUCCUUGGUAGAGUGCUUAUGAAGGCGCACCCAGGGAAAUUCAACAAAGAACAUAAGUUAUAGAACAACACAGAAAGUAGAAGCUAGCUUUGUAUGUAACUUAGGCUUAUGUGCCAAAGAUAGAUCAACAACACACUUUUGUUUUGUUUUCUUGUAGCAUGUUUUGGUUUUUUUAUCUUCCUGAUGUAAUGGAUCUUGAUGUUACUUUAUUGGACGUGUCAUUGUCUUCAAUAUCUCUGUGACUUAACCAGAGUGAAUAGAUUGAUGGAAAAACGUAUAAGAGUGAAUAGAUUGAUGGAAACAUCAAGUGUAGAAUCAAUCAUGUUGUGAUCUCCAACUGUGAAUACAAAAUAUUAUACAAAAUUAACUUAGAUAGGCAGAGACAUCUUCUAACUGUGUGUCUUGAUCAAGAUGCCUUCAGAUUCAAUUGGUACUCAUGCACAAGCCCUUGUGAAACACUUCUUGCUCUACCAUGUCCAAACAGCUUACCAACAAUAGCUAGAGAAAAAUUAGUCACAGUUGCGAGCCCCAUACCUGUAAUCACGCUUCCAUCUAUAACAACUUCUGCCCCUUGGAUCAUUUGGUCAUCCACAGGCCUGUGUGUGUCUGAAAGGUACACAGCUGUUCUCUUCUCCUGCAACAUGAUUCAAAUUCAUGUAUAGUGUUUGCUAGAAAAGAACAAAAAAAAAAUUCUUCUAUUUACCUUGAGCAAACUGUGUUUAUGAAGGACAGUAGAUGAAGAGUUAGUAGCUCCAUAUAUUUUCCCAGCUUCUUGUUCUUCUUUGAGUAGCUUCUUGAGAAUUUUUUACUUCUUUAAACAUUCUGAGCCAGCAUGGCCUCCCUAGAAAAACUCCAUCAUAGUUACUCACCAUGUAAUAAACAACAAUAUGGAUGUCUUACCGGA
Long non-coding RNA from Brassica napus (rape), 1192 nucleotides. RefSeq lists it as uncharacterized. Lineage: Eukaryota; Viridiplantae; Streptophyta; Magnoliopsida; Brassicales; Brassicaceae. The record is from RefSeq and is a predicted model, not a curated record. The transcript is spliced from 3 exons.